Molecule: ribosomal RNA, 253 nt
Filed under: uncultured bacterium
Lineage: Bacteria
Description: partial 16S ribosomal RNA
Rfam family: Bacterial small subunit ribosomal RNA
Source: RNAcentral
UACGUAGGGGGCAAGCGUUAUCCGGAAUUACUGGGUGUAAAGGGUGCGUAGGUGGCAGGGCAAGUCAGAAGUGAAAACCCGGGGCUCAACUCCGGGACUGCUUUUGAAACUGUCCAGCUAGAGUGCAGGAGAGGUAAGCGGAAUUCCUAGUGUAGCGGUGAAAUGCGUAGAUAUUAGGAGGAACAUCAGUGGCGAAGGCGGCUUACUGGACUGAAACUGACACUGAGGCACGAAAGCGUGGGGAGCAAACAGG